UACGGGGGGUUCGAGCGUUAAUCGGAGUAACUGGGCGUAAAGGGCACGCAGGCGGACUUUUAAGUGAGGUGUGAAAUCCUCGGGCUUAACCUGGGAAUUGCAUUUGAUACUGGGAGUCUAGAGUACUUUAGGGAGGGGUAGAAUUCCACGUGUAGCGGUGAAAUGCGUAGAGAUGUGGAGGAAUACCGAAGGCGAAGGCAGCCCCUUGGGAAUGUACUGACGCUCAUGUGCGAAAGCGUGGGGAGCAAACAGG
Molecule: ribosomal RNA, 253 nt
Filed under: uncultured bacterium
Lineage: Bacteria
Description: partial 16S ribosomal RNA
Rfam family: Bacterial small subunit ribosomal RNA
Source: RNAcentral